This 97-nucleotide small RNA is filed under the name Carlito syrichta (Philippine tarsier). Its description in RNAcentral is "Y RNA (ENSTSYG00000030183.1)". Lineage: Eukaryota; Metazoa; Chordata; Mammalia; Primates; Tarsiidae. The record is from RNAcentral.
GUAAAAAAAGAGUGCAGUGGUGUUUGCAACUAAUUGAUCACAACCCGUUACAGAUUUCUUUGUUCUUUAUGUACUCCUACUGCUUUACUUGACUAAC